This is a long non-coding RNA of Asterias rubens (European starfish), 1193 nucleotides long. RefSeq lists it as uncharacterized. The transcript is spliced from 6 exons. Lineage: Eukaryota; Metazoa; Echinodermata; Asteroidea; Forcipulatida; Asteriidae. The record is from RefSeq and is a predicted model, not a curated record.
UUUACAAAUAAAACUAAACAAAAUCAUGGCACUUCGAUCGAGGUGGAAAAGAUUAUUUUUUGGUGCGAGGAGGAGGAAUUUGUCAGCCGUAUUCUAGCUGCAACGUUUGCUGGCUGCUGCUGAGACCGAAAACAGCAAAGGCAAUCAAUAAAACCCAACCAGUAAGUAAGGUACAGUACUGAUCCACAGUAGGAGCUUCUGACCUCGUUAAACGAGCCAAAAUGGAGAUGUGGUCAGUUUGGUCUCUCAAAGAUUGCCAGGGUACACACCUCCGAUGCAGUGUGGGAGACAGACAGGUUGAUCUGUGCAUUACCUGCAAGAAUGCAUGAUGGGAGGGACGUGGUUCCGCGAACUCUUAGGGUGGACCCCGAGUGGCUAGCCUCUGUUGCCAUGGAGACACUGAAAAGCCAGAUAGGACUCGUUGCCAAGACGACUUAUUGCAAAGUAAACCUGUUCAAGGAUUGUACAGCUAACUAUCGAGUCAACCAUUCCAGACUUUUAGUGUUGCUCAGAGUGCUCAGCAGAAACAGGUCGUUCAAGAAGCUCUUCAUGAGAUGGACAAACCGCUGGCUCGUUACCGAGAUGACAACGACCUGGACGCCAUGUUGAAGGAACAGGACCGAGAUGGGGAUCCGAUGAUGGCCUUCGUGCAGAAGAAACAAUCGCAGAAAUGAGCUGCAAGUGGCAUUAAGGAGAAGCCCAAAUACAAGGGUCCACCGCCGCCUCCAAAUCGCUUCAACAUCAUGCCUGGUUACCGAUGGGAUGGGGCAGACCGCUCCAACGGCUUCAAGAAGAAAUCGAUGAUAUGACAGGCAGAUAAGAAAGCGAUGAAGGAGAUUGCUUAUAAAUUGAGCAUAGAGGAUAUGUAGAAAAGAUGUUGUUAAGCUCAAAGGCACUUGACACCCUUGGUAAUUGUCAAAGACCAGUUUUCGGACCAUGCAAAAGUUUCAAAUCCAAUUUAUGUAUUUCGUAGUUCAUCAAUGAAACUCCCCAUCAUGGUAAUUUUAUAAAUUCUGCUGCAGACAUUGCAAUAGUAAUAGCAAAAUGAGUAGUUUGUCGAUCUAUGUCAUUCAUUUGUAAAUUUUAAAACAGCAUAAUUUAUGCUUUCAUAAGGGAAUAAAACAACGAGUUCUUAAACUGCUGUUUAAAACUGGCAUGGUAGUGGCCGUGCGAUAAAGGUCCGACCCAGCAAG